RNAcentral lists this ribosomal RNA (253 nucleotides) under uncultured bacterium. RNAcentral describes it as "partial 16S ribosomal RNA". It matches the Rfam family "Bacterial small subunit ribosomal RNA", at positions 524 to 776 of the family's 1533-position model. The record is from RNAcentral.
UACGGAGGGUGCAAGCGUUGUUCGGAAUUACUGGGCGUAAAGCGCGUGUAGGUGGUUGGGUAAGUCGAAUGUGAAAGCCCCGGGCUCAACCCGGGAAGUGCAUCCGAAACUACCCGACUAGAGUCCCGGAGAGGAAGGCAGAAUUCCCAAUGUAGGGGUGAAAUCCGUAGAUAUUGGGAGGAAUACCGGUGGCGAAGGCGGCCUUCUGGACGGUGACUGACGCUGAGACGCGAAAGCGUGGGGAGCAAACAGG